CUCCACUCCAAAAGCACAUCUAAAAUAAGCUAGUCUAUUAUUUGUUUUGUUCAGCAAGAAUGAAUCCGGGCUCUCAAAACUCCAGGAAUUCUGGUUCUCGAUCUAGACCCAAAAAAAUUGAUACCCCAGCAGAUUAUUUGCGUCCUCAGGCAAGUUCUACCAACGCAACUGGUCCUCGAUCUACGAGUGGUAGAGAAAACAAAGUUGAUACCCCAGCAAAUUAUUUGGGUCAAGGAAAAAAUUGAUACCAUGUUACUACAACAUGAAACAGCAAACAGGUUUAUUUGCUAGUGGAACGUAUGUCCGAAGAAAAAUUACAAUAAAAUUUAAUGUUGGUUAAAAGUUCAGUGAUUGUGUGGAAUUGUUUUAGACUCUAGUGUUUACAAAUAAAUUAUUGUAAGUAGGAAGAAGUGCCUAUUAAUUUCGAAAAGUCUUUCUAAAUUUCUAUGUAAGUUUGUAUUUGCAUUUGAUGGUUUAUUAAUAAAUUAAACCAGU
Molecule: long non-coding RNA, 495 nt
Organism: Cajanus cajan (pigeon pea)
Lineage: Eukaryota; Viridiplantae; Streptophyta; Magnoliopsida; Fabales; Fabaceae
Source: RefSeq, a predicted model, not a curated record